CCUACGGGGGGCAGCAGUGGGGAAUAUUGGGCAAUGGACGAAACUCUGACCCAGCAACGCCGCGUGAAUGAUGAAGGUCUUCGGAUUGUAAAGCUCUUUUCUAAGGGAAGAAGAAAGUGACGGUACCUUAGGAAUAAGUCUCCGCUAACUACGUGCCACCAGCCGCGGGAAUACGUAGGAGGCGAGCGUUAACCGGAAUGACUGGUCGUAAAGGGUGCGUAGGUGGUUUGGCAAGUUAGUAGCGUAACUCCAAGGCUCAACCUUGGAAGUUCUACGAAAACUGUUGGACUUGAGUGCAGGAGAGGCAACCGGAAUUCGUAGUGUAGCGGUGGAAUGCGUAGAUAUAAGGAGGAACACCAGUGGCGAAGGCGGGUUGCUAGACUGUAACUGACACUGAGGCACGAAAGCGUGGGGAGCAAACAGGAUUAGAUACCCCAGUAGUC
Molecule: ribosomal RNA, 443 nt
Filed under: uncultured bacterium
Lineage: Bacteria
Description: partial 16S ribosomal RNA
Rfam family: Bacterial small subunit ribosomal RNA
Source: RNAcentral